CUCUGUAGUACCAUAGGCAGCAGUAGUUUCUUCCCCAAUGAACUUGUGAGUAGGGUAGCGGUGCUUGAGAUGAUUAAAAAUGAGAUCUUCACAAGCCUUAUCAGUUUCUGUGACUAAAUCAACCUGGCCUUUGUGCUCGACAUGCUUGGUCUGGUAAAAUCCUUUGCGGAUAACCUCGCCAGCGCUCUUAGCUGCUUCAACAGCAGUUUCCAGGAAUUCAGAGACUGAACCAUUUUCGGCCAUUGUGAGAAGAAGUGGAUUAGUGGGUGAUGAAGAUGAUGAAAUGUGAAACGGUUUCUUCGAGUUUGAGAGGAGCCUUAGCGUCAAAGCACUCGCAGAAACAAAAUGGAGGCU
RNAcentral lists this unclassified non-coding RNA (354 nucleotides) under Hevea brasiliensis (rubber tree). Lineage: Eukaryota; Viridiplantae; Streptophyta; Magnoliopsida; Malpighiales; Euphorbiaceae. The record is from RNAcentral.